CCUGACGGAGCAAUACCGCGUGAGGGAAGACGGCCUAUGGGUUGUAAACCUCUUUUUUCAGGGAGGAAUCAAUGACGUGUACCUGAAGAAUAAGCAUCGGCUAACUCCGUGCCAGCAGCCGCGGUAAGACGGAGGAUGCAAGUGUUAUCCGGAAUCACUGGGCGUAAAGCGUCUGUAGGUGGUUGAACAAGUCAACUGUUAAAUCUUGAGGCUCAACUUCAAAAUCGCAGUCGAAACUGUUUGACUAGAGUAUAGUAGGGGUAAAGGGAAUUUCCAGUGGAGCGGUGAAAUGCGUAGAUAUUGGAAAGAACACCGAUGGCGAAGGCACUUUACUGGGCUAUUACUGACACUCAGAGACGAAAGCUAGGGUAGCAAAUGGGAUUAGAUACCCCAGUAGUCCUAGCCGUAAACAAUGGAUACUAGAUGUUGAACAGAUCGACCUGUGCAGUAUCAAAGCUAACGCGUUAAGUAU
This 472-nucleotide ribosomal RNA is filed under the name uncultured Pseudomonadota bacterium. Its description in RNAcentral is "bacterial SSU rRNA". It matches the Rfam family "Bacterial small subunit ribosomal RNA", at positions 382 to 867 of the family's 1533-position model. Lineage: Bacteria; Pseudomonadati; Pseudomonadota. The record is from RNAcentral.